CGCUUGCCUGACCCGCUGUUUAUUUUUGUCCGUUUUCAACUUGGAGCCGUCUCAAAAGCAAGCUACGAACGGACUGCUCGGCAGCUCGCUUGGAGAAGGCACAACCAGCUCUCGACGGAGCGCGGCCUGCAGUCAGCACCGGGCAGAAGGCACCGGCUGGCCCCUUCCGCAGGACCAGCGGCGGCAGCGCGGGCCGGGCCGCGACGCCGGCCCCCAGGUUUCGGUUAGACCGCAACAGGAAGUUUUCUCUUCCCUUGCGGGAAGCCGUGCAACCAAAGAGAAAUUUGAACUCCCACUCCCGCGGGAGCACCCAGAGAUUCGGCUUAGGUGACGCUUCUCCUCGGCACCCAGUUAUCGGACUCCCUGUUGUGACCUCCUUGGCGGCUUCCCCAAUAUUUUGGGGUCCUUGGAGAGCUGGAGUGGUGGCCUGUUGCCGUGUAUGGACCCAAUCUGGGAUACCACUUUAAACUAGUGAGAUCUUUAUUGAAGGCAUUUUCAGGAAUGGAGGGAAAUGAAAAAGACAAAAUCAUUUUCCUUUCUCUUGAAGACUGAACAAAAUGCACGAGGAUUUGGUAAAUGGCAAAUGGCUUUGACCCCUUUUGGUCCUGCUCAUUAACUAUCUGGUGUUAGCACCUGCCUCCCCUUGGUUGUUUCCCUUCACUGUCCAUUUCCUAGCAGGUGGCAGUGACCCACUGUGGCGUAGGAUUGAUCCAGCUGUACACCUAAAGCCUGGUGUCUGCUCUCAUAGCCGUGGGCCCCACACCCGUUGCACUAAAUGUGAGUUUCUUGAGCGCAGGGGAGCCCUCUUACCGCUCCCAAGUCCAUUAGAGCAGUGGUUACAAUUUGGUGGUCAAAAGCAGGGCUGUGAAACGAGACUCCUGGGUUUAAACCCUGCCUCUACUUUUUGACUUUCAGCAAAGGCUUUCACCUUUAAGUUUCCCUUUUCUCAUUCCCAUUUUGCAGUGAGGAAAUGAGUGUUGUAGUGAGGUUUACAUUUUAUAGUUGUCAGAGAUCAUAGGGAAGAGGGCCCGGUACAGAAUAAGCGCUUAGUAAAUGUUACCUGUUAUUAUCACUGUGUUUCAGAAACCAUGGGUGGCUCAGUCUCCCAACUGGGUGGUGAAGAAAUCACCAAAACUCAAUGUUAGAGCAAAAGCAUAAGGAAGUCAAACUUUUAUUUAUUGUCCACAAGAGGAUGAGAGUUGUAAGGAAGACCAUUCUAUUGGUAAAAGGAAAGAACUAUGAAACUUGGUAAUAGGAUUCUAGAAAGCAAAGAAAAUGAAAAUGUUCACUACUGCAAAUCAUGCGGGGCAAAGGUCACACUAAUCCUCUUCGUGUGGGUCCAAUUUUAAUAUAUUUGUGGCUGAAGUGAGCACAGUUCUCAUCACCAUCUUAAGCUUAGCUCAAGUUUAAGCAAUGAAUAAACAGGAAAGAUGCCCUAAUUUGUAGAGAUUAAUUUUAUAGGGACCAUCACGAGCACUUCAAUUAGGUUUCUAAAGAAAAAAAGCAUAUUGCAUAAUAACUUUUAU
Molecule: long non-coding RNA, 1526 nt
Organism: Lontra canadensis (Northern American river otter)
Lineage: Eukaryota; Metazoa; Chordata; Mammalia; Carnivora; Mustelidae
Exons: 3
Source: RefSeq, a predicted model, not a curated record